Molecule: long non-coding RNA, 1779 nt
Filed under: Lathyrus oleraceus (garden pea)
Lineage: Eukaryota; Viridiplantae; Streptophyta; Magnoliopsida; Fabales; Fabaceae
Description: Pisum sativum (pea) long non-coding RNA (PSAT_LNC035548)
Source: RNAcentral
UUAGGCCCAGAACCAAGGGGGUACAACUUACGAGGGAAGUGUGAAAAUUGAUGCAUGCUUGCGCCUCAUAUUGAAUCCAAACGAAUCGGCAUUGAAUUCAUCAUUUCAACUUCACCGAAUCAAAUUUGCAAAAUCAACACACGAAUACGCACCAACAUACAAAUCUUCUUCGUUCGUGAAUUCGCCCAUUGGAUUCAAUUACGUCUAAGAAUGGUGCAGAUAUCUGAAAUAAAGGAUUAGAAGACUCUUACCGAAUCGAAGUUGAGGAAUUUUCCAACGCGGUGGCUCGUCGGUAACAGAUUCACAGGUAACUUGUGUCUUCUUUUCUCCUCCGCAUUUCCUCUUCUUUCUUCUGAGCGCUUCUUCUUCUCCCCUCUUCUUUGUUCUGAACACUUCUUCUUCUCCGUUCUUCUUCUCUUCUGUAGAUCGUAGUAAUGGAAAAAAGUUGUUGAUUCGUGAUAUUGCUUGCUGCGUUUUUCAUGGGUGUGCUUGAAUAAGGAGUGUAUUUAGUGUAAGGUUAAGAAAUAAUUGAGAUUGAGAGAGUUAGAUUUAUGGUUCUGGUUUUCGAGUGAAGUGAAGAAGUCCCCUCAAAAUGCAGAGUGAUGAACAUUUUAUAGAAGAGGGAAAGAGUUAAUAGAACUAACUCUGUUAACUGAUCCAGGUGAAAAAGUUGUUAGAACGUAAUACUCUGUUAGUCAUUGGGAGUUGAAAUUUCAGUUAGAAACGUUUUCAGUUAAAUCGAUUUCCUGAAUUAGUUAGCUAGGUUUUCUGUUAGUUAGAUUAGGUGUGAGUUAAUGUUAGUUACUCUAACUGCUAUGACUGGAAAUCCUAGAUGACUGAUCAAUGGAAGUUAUAUGGCUAUUGAAGGUAACGGCCUUCUGAAUAGGUUUGAUUCAAAUGCAAGUCAUGGUUGUUUUGAUCAGCUAAUGCAGGGUCCUGUGUUAUUGGAUUAUGCAGGUUUACACUUGGUCAGAUUUUGGAGUUGCUGAGUUGCUUCGAAUCCGGGUGGAAUUGGGAUUGAGUUAUUUUUACAGGUUUGUUAAUUAGUCGUGCCUUAACUUGAUUUUUCCUUUGGAAUAUGAGUAUGACCCUGUUAUAUGUGAUCUUCAUCUUGUACUCAUUUUGACUGGAUUGAUUGAAUAUGAAUGAUAGCAUUGCUCCACAGUUUGUUUUUGUUGCAAAUAUCAUGUUAGAUUUGGUUUGUUGUGAACUUAACUUGGAAUUUCACUAUUUUUUGUUUGUUGCUACUUGAAUGUCAUGGCUGCUAGUGUUUUGUGUUCUGUUGUCUCUGACUUGGGUAAAUGGUUGAAACUAAUUGUGAAAUUGGACAUGUUAAUUGGUUAGUUUGAACGUGAAUGGUAUAUCCUGUCUCUAAGUUAGCUUUAUGAAUUAAUUUUAUUAAUUGAUGUCAACUCGGGACCUCUUGCACCCUAAGUGAGAAUCAUACCACUAGACCUAAUGCCAAAGUAAUAAUCGAAGUUAAAUUAGUGAUAGUCUCAUAGAUUAGACAGAAAACGAGUCUUGGAUUCACACUUCUAUCUUUUUACAGAGUUAUUCUAACUCAGAUUCGCGGCAUCGCUCAUCCACCAACACUCCUUCAGGUAUCUAUCUACACAAUCCUUUUGUUAUAGACUUUUAAAAUUCAAUCAGUUUUUCAUUGGAAUUUGUUGUAGACUUGAGUUUUUUUGUUUCAUUCUUCAUUGGAAUUCAGUGAUGAAAUCGACUCUCCCAAACCCUAAUUGUUGUUUUUAAAUGUCAUUGCACUUUCAACCAUAAGCA